GCCAUGGAAGGAGGUGGCGCCGACGCCGUUCUCGUCCGCGCGGGCCUAACCGCCGUAACCCUGACGUCCGGCUUGGCCGCUUACAGAGCCGCAGCGGCGAGAGACGUCGGCUCCACGGCGUUCGUGGCCGUCGGCUACGCCGCGCUGCUGCUGCUCUUCCUUAGGCUCCGCGCGUACGAGCGACUGCCGCCCGGGGCGGCCGCCCACGGGAGGGGGCGGCUGAGACGCGAGGUCUGGGCGCUGUGCACGCUGCUCACCGUGCUGUUCGCGUGGAAGGUCGCGGCGGCGAUGCCGUCGUGGCCCGUCGCGGCGGUCGUUUGGACGAUGGCUGCUGCCACCACGGUCGGUGGCUCUAUUGGCUUGUUCCGCCGCCAUCCGUGACGGAGGAACACUGCUCGAGUGAACCAUACACGUAAGGUUGGCCGGUUGGUUUGCCUGUUGAUGCAUCUUGUGUACGUCCGGCUAUGCUUGUAUAUCCGUCCGGAAUCCUGCAAAGGUUCAGAGUUCCUGAUGGGGCCGACUAUUGGCAUAUGACAUCGAAGAAUUCAUUCGUUUUGUCAUGGUGUGCUUGGGAGGUUAUCAUCGUUGCUCAAGCUUACUGAGGUGUGGAUGCUGGAGCAAGAGGAUCGCAGUCGUAAAUGGUUUGCCUGUAAAAUAAAGCAAGCUGAAAUGAAUUGUAUGAUUGUAUAUUUUAGAUUACACCGUCACCAAUUGUUUGUAUAUUCUCUAUUUUCUCUCUUUUAUGAGGACACUUAUUGUAUACUCUUAUAAGCGUUGCAAUAACAAGUAAAGAAUAAGUUGUUGAUCUAAGAAACAUUUUUCCACCAAUUGUAUUGCAAGUUGGUACAUAUCUUGUUCACAGUAUUAAUAAAAAGAUAAAAGAGAUGUUGUCUCACUAAAACAUGUUGCGA
RNA transcript from Phragmites australis (common reed), 911 nucleotides. RefSeq lists it as uncharacterized. The transcript has 2 exons. The record is from RefSeq and is a predicted model, not a curated record. NCBI's taxonomy places the organism in Eukaryota, Viridiplantae, Streptophyta, Magnoliopsida, Poales, Poaceae.